GAGAAAAUGACUGUUUCAAUUUUUACAGUGAAUGAUUUAAAUAGAGAGCACCAGGAAACUAUCAGAAGAUCCUUCUCGAAAAAGAAAAGGAAGACUUGCACCUCCUUUCAUCUUCCCUCAGGAUCAACUCUUUGCACACGCCAAGAUGUUCUAAACUGAAAUUGUGGUUAAGUUGUCAGAAGAGAGAGAGCCACAUCUUGCCUUCUGCCAUCUUACCUUUCUUCUCUAUUCAUCCACCUUCUCAGGUGCACAUCCUUCCUUGCAGCCAGGCUUGUGUCCAUCCUGGGGGAUAUUUUCCAGAAGCUGGUGGAUGUGUGAUGAUCUCCCAUGAGCACAGUAACUGCUCACAGCCCAGCACUGCUGUGUGCUUUUCUUUUCCACCUCUCUGCAGGUCCUCUCCAGAGC
Molecule: long non-coding RNA, 405 nt
Filed under: Zonotrichia albicollis (white-throated sparrow)
Lineage: Eukaryota; Metazoa; Chordata; Aves; Passeriformes; Passerellidae
Description: lncRNA (ENSZALG00000013678.1)
Source: RNAcentral